This 354-nucleotide ribosomal RNA is filed under the name Aleiodes sp. HD-435. RNAcentral describes it as "partial 28S ribosomal RNA". Lineage: Eukaryota; Metazoa; Arthropoda; Insecta; Hymenoptera; Braconidae. The record is from RNAcentral.
CGAAUGAAGAGAUUCAUCGUCAGCGUAUUCAGUAUUAAUCCAGGCUAUGAUGUGAUGAUAGAAUCCUUGUGGUCACUAGAUUAUACUUGCUUGUAUUAUUUUUGCUGGGCAGGUCGGCGUGCACUUCUCUUCUAGUAGAACGUCGCAACCCGUUGGAUGUUUAUUUAUGCCCUAAAUGGUACCCUCUGAUAUUUUAAAAUAUCGAAGACCUUUGGUGUCCUGAUAAGCUGUCUGACGGUAAACAUAUAGUAUUGAGCCGCAAUUAUUUGCGUUAGACUUACCGCAAGUAAGAUUUUAGUCUAGUAGUGCAGAUCUAAUGCUGUCGCUGGGCAAAGUCUACUGUUAGCUGUGUAA